UUACUUCAGUCUGUCUCUUAACGCUUUUCAACGGCUUCUCCCCGCAGCUCCCCUCAGGCGCGUCCGGCGUACUCAUCCCUGCGAGCGGGGGCCCAGGGACGGCUCGUCUGCUUCCUGGCCUGAGUCUGUGCACUUUUUGGGUGUGGGGGUUGCGGUGAUUAAAAAACUUUUGAAAACCAAACAGAAAACAAAACCGCUGAGUAGUUUCUGUAGCUCCCCGACCGCCAGGCUUCUCCGGGGUCGCGGCCCCCGCGGGACCCCCGCAAGCGGCGGCGGCGCCGACCGGAAGUGGGGCGCCGGAAUGGCGGCGUGGAAGCGCGGCCGAGGCGAGGGCGCCGAGUCGUGGGCCUAGGCAGCUGCUGUCCCGCACCCGCCAGUCUCACGAAAUAUGCAGAAAGUUCUUACUGGCUUGGGAUCAGAUCCUUAAUAGUAAGAUCCUUACUCGGAAAUGGAGUUUGAGAGGCCUUAUAAUCCCGCCCGACUUGCAGAGCUCUGCAGUCAAAUAUCUUCCUGUCAGAAGCCAUUCUGGAAGACCAGGACCCACUUGUCCUCUGAAGCACUCCUGAGAGGAGAGAAGAUUCUUGGCCAGGAAUAUCCCAAGGGGUGAAGCUUCUCUAUCUUUGAUUCUCCUAAAAUGGAAAACCUAUGGUCUGGUGUUGUGGUGUAGCAGGUUAAUCCACCACCUGCUGUGCUGGUAUCCCAUAUGGGUUCUGGGUUGAGUCCCAAAUGCUCUACAUCUGAUCCAGCUCCCUGCUAAUGCAUCUGUGGAAGCAACAGAGGAUAGCCCAAGUGAUUGGGACUCUGCAUUCACGUGGGACACCCGAAAGAAUCCCCGGGCUCCUGAAUUAUGGCCUGGCCCAGCACUGGCCAUUGUAGCCAUCUGUGGAGUGAACCAGCAGAUAGAAGAUCUUUCUGUCUCUCCUUCUCUCUCUCUCCUACUCUGCCUUUCAAAUAAAUAUAAUAAAUCUUAAAAAAAUAAAAUAAAAUAAAAUGGAAAACUGAACUUUCUAUGAGAUCCAGGUAGAGUUUAUGCCUUCAGAAUCUACUUUUCUGGAGAAGUUGGUAGGAUUCCCUCAAGUCUGUAGCAAAAAGAUGAGAAGGGAAAAGUAGACAGCCCUGCCAUGAGGUCUUCUCUGGACAGCUGUCCCAGGUAGUGUAGCUGUGAGUACUGUGAGCACAGGAACCAGAAGUGGUCCUGCUGACCUGGUAUCGAAACCCCUGCUUCCUUCUCCUGGCCAAGCAGGGGGUUCUGGAUGCAGCAAGACAUGUUCCCCAGGGAGGUGUCUCUGAUGACCA
Oryctolagus cuniculus (rabbit) is the source of this 1296-nucleotide long non-coding RNA. RefSeq lists it as uncharacterized. The record is from RefSeq and is a predicted model, not a curated record. Lineage: Eukaryota; Metazoa; Chordata; Mammalia; Lagomorpha; Leporidae.